This 263-nucleotide ribosomal RNA is filed under the name uncultured bacterium. RNAcentral describes it as "partial 16S ribosomal RNA". It matches the Rfam family "Bacterial small subunit ribosomal RNA", at positions 793 to 1055 of the family's 1533-position model. The record is from RNAcentral.
GUCCACGCUGUAAACGAUGAAUGCUAGGUGUAGGGGAGAAAUCUUCUGUGCCGCAGUUAACACAAUAAGCAUUCCACCUGGGGAGUACGGCCGCAAGGUUGAAACUCAAAGGAAUUGACGGGAGCCCGCACAAGCAGUGGAGUAUGUGGUUUAAUUCGACGCAACGCGAAGAACCUUACCAGGACUUGACAUCCCGGGAACCCGGCGUAAUGGCUGGGGGUGCCCUUCGGGGAAUCCGGUGACAGGUGGUGCAUGGUUGUCGU